RNAcentral lists this long non-coding RNA (246 nucleotides) under Elaeis guineensis (African oil palm). Its description in RNAcentral is "long non-coding RNA (EGUI_LNC029025)". Lineage: Eukaryota; Viridiplantae; Streptophyta; Magnoliopsida; Arecales; Arecaceae. The record is from RNAcentral.
UGCUCAACAGGAAAAGAAAAAUGAUACAAUAAAUAUCAGAGAUCAUGUAUACAUCAAACCAAUAAAAUUAUUUUUAUUCCACCAAAAUCGAAUGGCCGUAAUGUAGCAACAAAUAACAUAACAUGCAAGCUUGACUUGAAUUUGACCUAAAAUGUUGGACCUUAUAAAUAUAAUAUAAAUUAUAUAAUUUUUAUAUUAUAUUUAUUUACCAACAAUUUUAAUCAAAAAUAAAAUGGACUAUGCUCU